GACGAACGCUGGCGGCGUGCUUAACACAUGCAAGUCGAACGGAAAGGCCCUGCUUUUGUGGGGUGCUCGAGUGGCGAACGGGUGUGUAACACGUGAGUAACCUCCCCUUGACUUUGGGAUAACUUCAGGAAACUGGGGCUAAUACCGGAUAGGAGCUCCUGCUGCAUGGUGGGGGUUGGAAAGUUUCGGCGGUUGGGGAUGGACUCGCGGCUUAUCAGCUUGUUGGGGGGGUAGUGGCUUACCAAGGCUUUGACGGGUAGCCGGCCUGAGAGGGUGACCGGCCACACUGGGACUGAGAUACGGCCCAGACUCCUACGGGAGGCAGCAGUGGGGAAUAUUGCACAAUGGGCGGAAGCCUGAUGCAGCAACGCCGCGUGCGGGAUGACGGCCUUCGGGUUGUAAACCGCUUUCGCCUGUGACGAAGCGUGAGUGACGGUAAUGGGUAAAGAAGCACCGGCUAACUACGUG
Molecule: ribosomal RNA, 468 nt
Filed under: uncultured bacterium
Lineage: Bacteria
Description: partial 16S ribosomal RNA
Rfam family: Bacterial small subunit ribosomal RNA
Source: RNAcentral